GCCUCUUAAAAAACGAGAACAAAAAACAAACGCUAACGAAGAUAAUUUCGCUUUAGCCGCGGCUUGAUAGCCGCCCGUCAGUCCAUCGUAGCUGAACCUUGGGGAACUGGCGUCACCGAUUCAGCCCCUAUGCGCCGCAGGUCAGACGCCUGAACUGGUCGGCCAAAGCUUUGAGGUCGCGCCCGAUCUUAUGAAGCUACCGGAACUUUUGCCCUGCCUGUUGGGGCGUUGAGCCGGGAAUCUCAAUCAGCAGGCUACACCCGUAGAAACACUCGUGGAUACAGCUUCGGACAGGGGUUCGACCCCCCUCAUCUCCAUUC
This 320-nucleotide transfer-messenger RNA is filed under the name Clostridiales bacterium. RNAcentral describes it as "partial transfer-messenger RNA". It matches the Rfam family "transfer-messenger RNA", at positions 63 to 374 of the family's 374-position model. From Rfam's summary of the family: Bacterial tmRNA, also known as 10Sa RNA or SsrA, is named for its dual tRNA and mRNA-like properties. Its role is to liberate the mRNA from a stalled ribosome. To accomplish this part of the tmRNA is used as a reading frame that ends in a translation stop signal. Lineage: Bacteria; Bacillati; Bacillota; Clostridia; Eubacteriales. The record is from RNAcentral.